This 253-nucleotide ribosomal RNA is filed under the name uncultured bacterium. RNAcentral's name for it is "partial 16S ribosomal RNA". It matches the Rfam family "Bacterial small subunit ribosomal RNA", at positions 524 to 776 of the family's 1533-position model. The record is from RNAcentral.
UACGGAGGGUGCGAGCGUUGUCCGGAAUCAUUGGGCGUAAAGCGCGCGUAGGUGGCCAUUUAAGUCCGCUGUGAAAGUCAAAGGCUCAACCUUUGAACGCCGAUGGAUACUGCCGGGCUAGAGUCCGGAAGAGGCGAGUGGAAUUCCUGGUGUAGCGGUGGAAUGCGCAGAUAUCAGGAGGAACACCAAUAGCGAAGGCAGCUCGCUGGGACGGUACUGACGCUGAGGCGCGAAAGCGUGGGGAGCGAACAGG